AUGAAGACCUGGAGAUUGACGCUUUCUAUUUAGCCAAAGAUUGGACAGCCUCAGGGUAAGUUUCCGUUCUGUUGCCCUGCCAAUGUGCCUCAUCAUUGACCUGGAGGGGCCAUAUGGAUGGGCAGUCUGGUCACUCUCCGUGGCUCUGUGCGUGCACUGAC
Unclassified non-coding RNA from Chelonoidis abingdonii (Abingdon island giant tortoise), 161 nucleotides. The record is from Ensembl. NCBI's taxonomy places the organism in Eukaryota, Metazoa, Chordata, Testudines, Testudinidae.